This is a long non-coding RNA of Aegilops tauschii subsp. strangulata, 1139 nucleotides long. RefSeq lists it as uncharacterized. The record is from RefSeq and is a predicted model, not a curated record. NCBI's taxonomy places the organism in Eukaryota, Viridiplantae, Streptophyta, Magnoliopsida, Poales, Poaceae.
UGAGAUGCUUUAUUUUAUUUAAUUUGACUUUUUUGGGUUUUGUAACAAACAUUGAAAUUCUUCGUCUUUUAAAUUUGAACCUCUAGGUUUUUUCUAGAAACGGGAGUGAGCGACCACAACAAAAAUAAAUUGUAUCUCUGUACGGCUGCAUUACAUUUUGUGUGAGAUACAAGCUGUUGUUUUUGUAACAUCAAACUGCUCAUUUGUUUUAAUUUGACCUUCUUCUUUUUUGUUUUAGAAAUGGAGAAACCCAAAAAAUGUGUGUACGAACAUCUUUUUUAAUACAAACAUGAACUUUUUAUCAUCGACCUCUGUGAGCUUCCAUGGUUACAAAGACGUUUUUCAGUACAAACAUUUUUUUGACGUAACAUAAUUUUUUCUUGGAGUGUACACACUUUAAAACAUAGUAUAAAAAUUCAAAAUGAAUAAAAACAUACACUUAAAAAAACUGGUACCAACCCAAUUAAAAAGGGAAGUGAAUUUUUUCCACCACACAUUUCCUUAUCGUCACUACCACACUCAUCUCUUACUCUCUCUCCAUCUUAUCUUGGUUCCUGGUGCGCACAAACCAUAGCAGCGCUUUCACUUGCAUUCUAGAAGAAGAAAAUUUGAGCAAGGAUAUAGCUGCGCUGCCCACAUGCAAGGAGUCUGACUGCGAAAGAGGAACGCCAGCUGCUUGGGGAGCUCGCCGCGAGUCUGACAACCAAAGAGGCGUGCGAGUUUGCGUAGCCGCGGGGAGCUUGUCCAGGCCCACAUGCCCAGGGGAAGGCCGGUGCAGGUAGUCAGCGGCGACGCAUCAGUGGCCUGGACCAGUGCGUGCGUGCAACCACGCGGGAGGAAGAAGGUCACCAGCUUCACGGUGGUGGAUGGACGGCCGCACACACAGGAAUCCGGGCGACGAGACCCCGUCUAGGAGGUGCGGGCUGCCGUUGGUGGUCGUCUUCCAUGACCGCGGCGGCGGUUGGUUUUUUCUUUCUUUUUCAGCUCCCGUUUCAGUUUAUGUUCCUACCUAUUGUCUAAAUAUAUUAAGAGAGAUCUACGGUCUAACGAGGAGUUGGAUCGGCGUAAAGAACAAGACAAACGUGAUAUUAUCUCUAUAAGGAUGGUUACGAGGCUCUGCUCUUUUUUUCUUUAUUCAA